Molecule: ribosomal RNA, 289 nt
Filed under: Shigella sonnei
Lineage: Bacteria; Pseudomonadati; Pseudomonadota; Gammaproteobacteria; Enterobacterales; Enterobacteriaceae
Description: partial 16S ribosomal RNA
Rfam family: Bacterial small subunit ribosomal RNA
Source: RNAcentral
UUGCUGUUUCGCUGACGAGUGGCGGACGGGUGAGUAAUGUCUGGGAAACUGCCUGAUGGAGGGGGAUAACUACUGGAAACGGUAGCUAAUACCGCAUAAUGUCGCAAGACCAAAGAGGGGGACCUUCGGGCCUCUUGCCAUCGGAUGUGCCCAGAUGGGAUUAGCUAGUAGGUGGGGUAACGGCUCACCUAGGCGACGAUCCCUAGCUGGUCUGAGAGGAUGACCAGCCACACUGGAACUGAGACACGGUCCAGACUCCUACGGGAGGCAGCAGUGGGGAAUAUUGCAC